AGCGUACACGGUGGAUGCCCUGGCAGUCAGAGGCGAUGAAGGGCGUGCUAAUCUGCGAUAAGCGCCGGUAAGGUGAUAUGAACCGUUAUAACCGGCGAUACCCGAAUGGGGAAACCCAGUGUGACUCGUCACACUAUCAUUAACUGAAUCCAUAGGUUAAUGAGGCGAACCGGGGGAACUGAAACAUCUAAGUACCCCGAGGAAAAGAAAUCAACCGAGAUUCCCCCAGUAGCGGCGAGCGAACGGGGAGGAGCCCAGAGCCUGAAUCAGCAUGUGUGUUAGUGGAAGCGUCUGGAAAGGCGCGCGAUACAGGGUGACAGCCCCGUACACAAAAGCGCAUGUGCUGUGAGCUCGAUGAGUAGGGCGGGACACGUGGUAUCCUGUCUGAAUAUGGGGGGACCAUCCUCCAAGGCUAAAUACUCCUGACUGACCGAUAGUGAACCAGUACCGUGAGGGAAAGGCGAAAAGAACCCCGGCGAGGGGAGUGAAAAAGAACCUGAAACCGUGUACGUACAAGCAGUGGGAGCACAGGUUUACCUGUGUGACUGCGUACCUUUUGUAUAAUGGGUCAGCGACUUAUAUUCUGUAGCAAGGUUAACCGAAUAGGGGAGCCGGAGGGAAACCGAGUCUUAACCGGGCGUUAAGUUGCAGGGUAUAGACCCGAAACCCGGUGAUCUAGCCAUGGGCAGGUUGAAGGUUGGGUAACACUAACUGGAGGACCGAACCGACUAAUGUUGAAAAAUUAGCGGAUGACCUGUGGCUGGGGGUGAAAGGCCAAUCAAACCGGGAGAUAGCUGGUUCUCCCCGAAAGCUAUUUAGGUAGCGCCUCGUGAAUUCAUCUCCGGGGGUAGAGCACUGUUUCGGCUAGGGGGCCAUCCCGGCUUACCAACCCGAUGCAAACUGCGAAUACCGGAGAAUGUUAUCACGGGAGACACACGGCGGGUGCUAACGUCCGUCGUGAAGAGGGAAACAACCCAGACCGCCAGCUAAGGUCCCAAAGUCAUGGUUAAGUGGGAAACGAUGUGGGAAGGCCCAGACAGCCAGGAUGUUGGCUUAGAAGCAGCCAUCAUUUAAAGAAAGCGUAAUAGCUCACUGGUCGAGUCGGCCUGCGCGGAAGAUGUAACGGGGCUAAACCAUGCACCGAAGCUGCGGCAGCGACGCUUAUGCGUUGUUGGGUAGGGGAGCGUUCUGUAAGCCUGUGAAGGUGGCCUGUGAGGGUUGCUGGAGGUAUCAGAAGUGCGAAUGCUGACAUAAGUAACGAUAAAGCGGGUGAAAAGCCCGCUCGCCGGAAGACCAAGGGUUCCUGUCCAACGUUAAUCGGGGCAGGGUGAGUCGACCCCUAAGGCGAGGCCGAAAGGCGUAGUCGAUGGGAAACGGGUUAAUAUUCCCGUACUUGGUGUUACUGCGAAGGGGGGACGGAGAAGGCUAUGUUGGCCGGGCGACGGUUGUCCCGGUUUAAGCGUGUAGGUGUGUGUUCCAGGUAAAUCCGGUUCACUUUAACACUGAGGCGUGAUGACGAGGCACUACGGUGCUGAAGCAACAAAUGCCCUGCUUCCAGGAAAAGCCUCUAAGCAUCAGGUAACAUCAAAUCGUACCCCAAACCGACACAGGUGGUCAGGUAGAGAAUACCAAGGCGCUUGAGAGAACUCGGGUGAAGGAACUAGGCAAAAUGGUGCCGUAACUUCGGGAGAAGGCACGCUGACACGUAGGUGAAGUGAUUUACUCAUGGAGCUGAAGUCAGUCGAAGAUACCAGCUGGCUGCAACUGUUUAUUAAAAACACAGCACUGUGCAAACACGAAAGUGGACGUAUACGGUGUGACGCCUGCCCGGUGCCGGAAGGUUAAUUGAUGGGGUCAGCGCAAGCGAAGCUCCUGAUCGAAGCCCCGGUAAACGGCGGCCGUAACUAUAACGGUCCUAAGGUAGCGAAAUUCCUUGUCGGGUAAGUUCCGACCUGCACGAAUGGCGUAAUGAUGGCCAGGCUGUCUCCACCCGAGACUCAGUGAAAUUGAACUCGCUGUGAAGAUGCAGUGUACCCGCGGCAAGACGGAAAGACCCCGUGAACCUUUACUAUAGCUUGACACUGAACAUUGAGCCUUGAUGUGUAGGAUAGGUGGGAGGCUUUGAAGUGUGGACGCCAGUCUGCAUGGAGCCGACCUUGAAAUACCACCCUUUAAUGUUUGAUGUUCUAACGUGGACCCGUGAUCCGGGUUGCGGACAGUGUCUGGUGGGUAGUUUGACUGGGGCGGUCUCCUCCUAAAGAGUAACGGAGGAGCACGAAGGUUGGCUAAUCCUGGUCGGACAUCAGGAGGUUAGUGCAAUGGCAUAAGCCAGCUUGACUGCGAGCGUGACGGCGCGAGCAGGUGCGAAAGCAGGUCAUAGUGAUCCGGUGGUUCUGAAUGGAAGGGCCAUCGCUCAACGGAUAAAAGGUACUCCGGGGAUAACAGGCUGAUACCGCCCAAGAGUUCAUAUCGACGGCGGUGUUUGGCACCUCGAUGUCGGCUCAUCACAUCCUGGGGCUGAAGUAGGUCCCAAGGGUAUGGCUGUUCGCCAUUUAAAGUGGUACGCGAGCUGGGUUUAGAACGUCGUGAGACAGUUCGGUCCCUAUCUGCCGUGGGCGCUGGAGAACUGAGGGGGGCUGCUCCUAGUACGAGAGGACCGGAGUGGACGCAUCACUGGUGUUCGGGUUGUCAUGCCAAUGGCACUGCCCGGUAGCUAAAUGCGGAAGAGAUAAGUGCUGAAAGCAUCUAAGCACGAAACUUGCCCCGAGAUGAGUUCU
Molecule: ribosomal RNA, 2777 nt
Filed under: Salmonella enterica subsp. enterica serovar Albany
Lineage: Bacteria; Pseudomonadati; Pseudomonadota; Gammaproteobacteria; Enterobacterales; Enterobacteriaceae
Description: bacterial LSU rRNA
Rfam family: Bacterial large subunit ribosomal RNA
Source: RNAcentral